This 490-nucleotide ribosomal RNA is filed under the name Colletotrichum sp. FLS-2010. RNAcentral's name for it is "eukaryotic LSU rRNA". The stretch from base 167 to 320 matches the Rfam family "5.8S ribosomal RNA". The record is from RNAcentral. Lineage: Eukaryota; Fungi; Ascomycota; Sordariomycetes; Glomerellales; Glomerellaceae. RNAcentral also lists the same sequence under 1 other name.
GUGAACAUACCUACAACUGUUGCUUCGGCGGGUAGGCCGUCCCCUGAAAAGGACGCCUCCCGGCCCGGACCGGACCCCCCGCGGGACCGGACCCGGCGCCCGCCGGAGGAUAACCAAACUCUAUUGUAACGACGUUUCUUCUGAGUGGCAUAAGCAAAAUAAUCAAAACUUUUAACAACGGAUCUCUUGGUUCUGGCAUCGAUGAAGAACGCAGCGAAAUGCGAUAAGUAAUGUGAAUUGCAGAAUUCAGUGAAUCAUCGAAUCUUUGAACGCACAUUGCGCCCGCCAGCAUUCUGGCGGGCAUGCCUGUUCGAGCGUCAUUUCAACCCUCAAGCUCUGCUUGGUGUUGGGGCUCUACGGUCGACGUAGGCCCUCAAAGGUAGUGGCGGACCCUCCCGGAGCCUCCUUUGCGUAGUAACAUUUCGUCUCGCACUGGGAUCCGGAGGGACUCUUGCCGUAAAACCCCCCAAUUUUCCAAAGGUUGACCUCG